GUUCAGACUCCAUUUUAAACUGGACAGAGCAGUCAGAGGAAUACAGGUCGUCUGAGACACGUUCUCUCAGAUUUGGGAAGAUGGCUGAUUUGGAGGCAGACGGGGACAGAUCAGAGUCUCCAGUGUCCAGCUGUCAGCUGUCUUUGAGUGACAACAGUAUAGAACCUGAACCUGGACCCUCAGACACAAAACAGAGAGCAGAGUCUCCAGUAUCCAGCUGUCUGUCUAUGAAGAGUGACUGGUCCAGACUUGAUCCUCCAGCGUUCAGUAAUGAACCUGGACCCUCAGACACAAA
Epinephelus moara (kelp grouper) is the source of this 295-nucleotide long non-coding RNA. RefSeq lists it as uncharacterized. The record is from RefSeq and is a predicted model, not a curated record. The transcript is spliced from 3 exons. Lineage: Eukaryota; Metazoa; Chordata; Actinopteri; Perciformes; Serranidae.